Molecule: non-coding RNA, 82 nt
Organism: Pelobates cultripes (western spadefoot toad)
Lineage: Eukaryota; Metazoa; Chordata; Amphibia; Anura; Pelobatidae
Source: the annotation of a GenBank genome assembly
GAAACAGAGAGAAGUUGGCGCACACAAUGGAUAUUUUUGAUUAAAAAAAUAUCCAUUGUGUGCGCCAACUUCUCUCUGUUUC